This 688-nucleotide ribosomal RNA is filed under the name uncultured Staphylococcus sp. RNAcentral describes it as "bacterial SSU rRNA". It matches the Rfam family "Bacterial small subunit ribosomal RNA", at positions 61 to 731 of the family's 1533-position model. The record is from RNAcentral. Lineage: Bacteria; Bacillati; Bacillota; Bacilli; Caryophanales; Staphylococcaceae.
GUCGAGCGAACAGACGAGGAGCUUGCUCCUCUGACGUUAGCGGCGGACGGGUGAGUAACACGUGGAUAACCUACCUAUAAGACUGGGAUAACUUCGGGAAACCGGAGCUAAUACCGGAUAAUAUAUUGAACCGCAUGGUUCAAUAGUGAAAGACGGCUUUGCUGUCACUUAUAGAUGGAUCCGCGCCGCAUUAGCUAGUUGGUAAGGUAACGGCUUACCAAGGCAACGAUGCGUAGCCGACCUGAGAGGGUGAUCGGCCACACUGGAACUGAGACACGGUCCAGACUCCUACGGGAGGCAGCAGUAGGGAAUCUUCCGCAAUGGGCGAAAGCCUGACGGAGCAACGCCGCGUGAGUGAUGAAGGUCUUCGGAUCGUAAAACUCUGUUAUUAGGGAAGAACAAAUGUGUAAGUAACUAUGCACGUCUUGACGGUACCUAAUCAGAAAGCCACGGCUAACUACGUGCCAGCAGCCGCGGUAAUACGUAGGUGGCAAGCGUUAUCCGGAAUUAUUGGGCGUAAAGCGCGCGUAGGCGGUUUUUUAAGUCUGAUGUGAAAGCCCACGGCUCAACCGUGGAGGGUCAUUGGAAACUGGAAAACUUGAGUGCAGAAGAGGAAAGUGGAAUUCCAUGUGUAGCGGUGAAAUGCGCAGAGAUAUGGAGGAACACCAGUGGCGAAGGCGACUUUCUG